RNAcentral lists this unclassified non-coding RNA (19 nucleotides) under Dictyostelium discoideum. Lineage: Eukaryota; Evosea; Eumycetozoa; Dictyosteliales; Dictyosteliaceae. The record is from RNAcentral.
UCCCUUGAAUAAUCGUUAA